UACGAAGGGGGCUAGCGUUGCUCGGAAUCACUGGGCGUAAAGGGCGCGUAGGCGGAUGAUUAAGUCGGAGGUGAAAGCCCAGGGCUCAACCCUGGAAUUGCCUUCGAUACUGAUCGUCUUGAGAGCGGAAGAGGUUAGUGGAACUCCGAGUGUAGAGGUGAAAUUCGUAGAUAUUCGGAAGAACACCAGUGGCGAAGGCGACUAACUGGUCCGUUUCUGACGCUGAGGCGCGAAAGCGUGGGGAUCAAACAGG
This 253-nucleotide unclassified non-coding RNA is filed under the name uncultured Alphaproteobacteria bacterium. Its description in RNAcentral is "contains 16S-23S intergenic spacer region". It matches the Rfam family "Bacterial small subunit ribosomal RNA", at positions 524 to 776 of the family's 1533-position model. Lineage: Bacteria; Pseudomonadati; Pseudomonadota; Alphaproteobacteria. The record is from RNAcentral.